RNAcentral lists this ribosomal RNA (440 nucleotides) under uncultured bacterium. RNAcentral describes it as "partial 16S ribosomal RNA". It matches the Rfam family "Bacterial small subunit ribosomal RNA", at positions 339 to 795 of the family's 1533-position model. The record is from RNAcentral.
CUACGGGAUGCUCCAGUGAGGAAUAUUGCACAAUGGGGGCAACCCUGAUGCAGCAACGCCGCGUGGAGGAUGACGCAUUUCGGUGUGUAAACUCCUUUUAUCAGAGAAGAACCAUGACGGUAUCUGAUGAAUAAGCUCCGGCUAACUCCGUGCCAGCAGCCGCGGUAAUACGGAGGGAGCAAGCGUUAUUCGGAAUCACUGGGCGUAAAGGACGCGUAGGCCGGUCUGUAAGUCAGGUGUGAAAUGCAAUGGCUCAACCAUUGAACUGCACUUGAAACUGCGGACCUAGAGUAUGGAAGGGGCAGAUGGAAUUAGUGGUGUAGGGGUAAAAUCCGUAGAUAUCACUAGGAAUACCGAAAGCGAAGGCGAUCUGCUGGGACAUAACUGACGCUGAGGCGUGAAAGCGUGGGGAGCAAACAGGAUUAGAUACCCCAGUAGUC